Molecule: microRNA precursor, 93 nt
Organism: Colobus angolensis palliatus
Lineage: Eukaryota; Metazoa; Chordata; Mammalia; Primates; Cercopithecidae
Source: Ensembl
UAAGUGUAAACUUAAGGACUAUCUUUUCUAAGCCUGUGCCUUGCCUUUCCUUUGGCACAGGCUUAGAAAAGAGAGUCCUUAAGUUUACACUUC